RNAcentral lists this unclassified non-coding RNA (789 nucleotides) under Hevea brasiliensis (rubber tree). Lineage: Eukaryota; Viridiplantae; Streptophyta; Magnoliopsida; Malpighiales; Euphorbiaceae. The record is from RNAcentral.
AGAGAGAGAGAGAGAGAGAGGAAACUGGGCUUUCGUUUUUUCUCUUUUGUUUAGGGAAUAAUAAUUUUGGGCACUGUACAGAGUAAGGCAGAGAGAUGGGUAAAAGUGAAAAAAAAAAUUCCUUAAUCAAGGAGGACAUGAAGAAUGUUUUAACAGAGACAAAAAUAAUGAAAAAAAAGGUGAAAAAUUGGAAAUUUACCCAUUUCUUUGUGGCCCUGGUCUUAUCAGGGAACUAAAACUUGCAACAACAUAAGAAUCUGAAUUCUGGCUAAAAAGGAGAAAGGAAAUGAAAUUUUAAUCCUGGUUGUGUAUUUCUUGCUGUUUCCUUAUUUGUUAAUUGUAUUUUUCUUUGGAAAUUUGUGAAUUUGGUUUUCUUCUGCUGGGAAAUCAGCUUCAGUCAUGAGAUCAAAGGGCAAAUGGCACGCGACAUACUUUUGUGUCGUUUCGUUAUACAUAGCACGUUAAAAAGGGUUUUCACGCUUCAUAUUGUAAGUGGAAUGAUUUUUUUUGUUUUUUGUGUUGGGAUUUUACGGACAAAAAUAUGGUGGAGGUUUUGGUUUAAAGCAGUUUAUAGUUGCUUUUGCAGUUACCAGUUGGAGAUGAUAAUGCAGUUCAAGGACCAUAAAUUGGACUUUUAUAGCCAUUAGCUUUACCAUAAACUACCCAACAAUCAACCAACUCCUCUCUAAUCACAACGGCUCUGCACCUCUUUUUGCCAAAGAUUAACUUGUACUAGUUUCAAACAGACUGUAUUUCCUCAAGGCAUUAAGCAUUUCAUAGGUUGACCUU